RNAcentral lists this ribosomal RNA (497 nucleotides) under uncultured bacterium. RNAcentral's name for it is "partial 16S ribosomal RNA". It matches the Rfam family "Bacterial small subunit ribosomal RNA", at positions 29 to 507 of the family's 1533-position model. The record is from RNAcentral.
AAUGAACGCUGGCGGCGUGCCUAAUACAUGCAAGUCGAGCGAACAGACGAGGAGCUUGCUCCUCUGACGUUAGCGGCGGACGGGUGAGUAACACGUGGAUAACCUACCUAUAAGACUUGGAUAACUUCGGGAAACCGGAGCUAAUAACGGAUAAUAUAUUCAACCGCAUGGUUCAAUAGUGAAAGACGGUUUUGCUGUCACUUAUAGAUGGAUCCGCGCCACAUUAGCUAGUUGGUAAGGUAACGGCUUACCAAGGCAACGAUGCGUAGCCGACCUGAGAGGGUGAUCGGCCACACUGGAACUGAGACACGGUCCAGACUCCUACGGGAGGCAGCAGUAGGGAAUCUUCCGCAAUGGGCGAAAGCCUGACGGAGCAACGCCGCGUGAGUGAUGAAGGUCUUCGGAUCGUAAAACUCUGUUAUUAGGGAAGAACAAAUGUGUAAGUAACUAUGCACGUCUUGACGGUACCUAAACAGAAAGCCACGGCUAACUACGUG